Long non-coding RNA from Equus caballus (horse), 3068 nucleotides. RefSeq lists it as uncharacterized. Lineage: Eukaryota; Metazoa; Chordata; Mammalia; Perissodactyla; Equidae. The record is from RefSeq and is a predicted model, not a curated record.
CUUUUUCCUGUUCUGGAUAUGAAUCUUGAUCAGGAAAUCAUUGAAGAGAAGAGAAAAAAUUCAAAACUGUCAAGUUACAUUGAGACUUUCUCCUUCCUCUGCAGAGGAAUGGCACCACUUCGUCCUGAGUAUUCAGCCUCUGUGCUGCGGUGACUCUUCAAGUUAUUGCUGAGGACACCUGCAGGAGAGGACAGUGCAGCAAGCCCAGGAUACAGUCUGGAGACCAGGAGUGUGAAAGGGAUGUUCUAAUGAGCUCAUUCACUGUAAGCCAAGCUUCCAGAUCCAGCUUCAGCAACUUCCGACAGUUUUGACAAUGAAGAGGUAGCUUGGCAUUUCUUCUUGGGUACAUAAGUGCCGUCUAUCAUCCCAGGUAUCAAGUGAUUUCAAGAGCUGCAGAGUAGAGGCUGAAGUGCUCUGGCUAUGGAGCACAUCCCAGGUGAGAAAACUGAAGAUCAAGUUGUGUCAAACAGAAAUGAGAUUCUUCUGUAAAGAUUUUGAAGAAUAAGCGAAGAUAUGCCAAAUAGGAGUGUCUAAAGAUGAACCGUGUAGAAAUAAACAGCGUACAAAUUUAUGAAAAUUCAAAGGAUUUAAAGAAAUUAUUCAAGGGAUUCAGUGUCUGGUGGGAAUUACAAAAGAUUUUCUGUAAUUUGAUGAAUUAAUUUACAUAAAUUUGGAUCAUUUUUGAGAUUGAAAAUUUAAACCCAGAAGGUGGAAUUUAUGUCUAUUUAAUUAUUCACUUUUCAAAGCACCUGUGUCCAAAAAUGACUCCUAUUUCUAUCACAUAUCAGUUAUGGAAAAUUGAGCAAAUUACUUGACUCCUUUGGAUCCUAAAUGUAACAUCUGUAGACUGGGGGUAAUUAUGGUACUAGACUCAAUAAUUACUCCAACAUUAUUUCUGUAAAGAGCUUAGAAGAUGCCCUAUAGACGUUAGCUAUCAGUUUCAUUAUAAAGCAAAGCAUAUUUUGCAUAGUAAGCAUAGUUUAAAUAAUUUAUAUACACUCUAUAUUUGCAUAUCAAUGAUUGACAAAAGCUCAUAUAGUGUGUUUAUUUGUUUUGAUUUUGAGCUUUAUGGUUAUUUGGACAAAUUUUUAGACUUAAGCUUCCUAAGUACAUAGAUGUUAGAGACUCAUAAUUAUAUGAAAUAAAAUAUAUGAAAUGUGGGCUAGCAAUAAUUCCUCCAGUCCCUUUCCUUUCUAUAUGCCACUCAAAAUAUUUUCUGUCCUAGUUUGGUUUUCAGCUUGUGAUGGAUUUUCAGGAAUUUGAGAGGUGUUAAAAGGAGAAAAAACUGUAUGGUAGGACUCAGGCAUCCCUUUCUUUCAUUAUCUCAAAGACUAGGGAGCAAGAGAAUGGAAAUAGAAUGCCACAACCAUCUCUCAAUCGUGAAUUUCAUCAUCUGAAAUGAGGCACAGCACAAAAUUAAAGUUUUCAAAAAGGAAAACAAAAAUGCCUGGAGGGACUCUCUUUCUAAAAGAGCUGAGUGAACACUUCUUUCCUAAGCACGGUUAUUCACAAGGGGGGCUUUCUUUAAGUCCUGCAAAAACAGAAGCUAAAAUCUACCAGUCUCACAUGGGGUUAUAAGCUAACAUACUGUAAAUAAAAGAUCUCUGAUUUCCAUUAACAGAAAUCACACCUGAAUAAAAGAUUCACUCCUGCCUCAGUGCAGAAGAUCCUUUGGGUGCCACCUGAGGAAGCAAGUGGACUGUAUUCUAGUCGUUUCUGAAGUCUGCUUUCAGGAAGACACCAGAUGGAUUACAAAUUACAUAAGAUUCUUCCUGGAACAUUUCCUGAUGUCAUUGUCCAGAGAUUUUCUUAUGGGUUUUUACUAUAGCAAUCUAGAGAUAGAAUUCCUGCUAGGAGUAGAGGAAGGGUUUUUAUAAUUUCUAUAUUGGUGCUGGCAGCUUUGCUUUUUCUAAAAAAAAAAUUGCCUCUUUCAUUUACUCUAUUUUGGUAGUAAUAUAUAAGGUAUUUAAUAGGUUGGCACUGUGUUUAGAAUUUAAAAAUAAAAGACACUAAAAUAACAUCAGUUAAAACAGAAUAUUUAUUGCUUGAAAAGUGACGGAGUCAAAUGGCAUUGAUUUCUAGCAUAAUGUACUAUGACCCUCAUCCAUCUGUUCAGAUCCUGAUGCAGAAAUCAAUGUAAUCUUUUUCUGGGGAAGCCCAAGGCAUUCUCUGCAUUUAGACAUAGGACUUUCAGACUGCUAGUGUGAUUAAAAAAUAAUCAAGACCUUCCAGAAGCUUCUUUUUCCAACCUACUCUAAAAAGUUUUCCCUUAAAAAUAACUUUUUCUGAGCAAAUUUUGUUAUUCAGCUUAUUUCUUUCAUUCUUUGCAUUUCAAUUACAGUACAGUUCUAUUGAUUAUAUCUCUUAAGAAUCCCAGCUGAGUGUAAGUAAAAGCACAUUUGUAGACUGGUUUAAAAUCUACCAUGAGUACAAUAUGACUACUCUUAAAGUAUCAAUAAAUAUUUAUGGUAGAAUAUUUCAAGGUUGUUAGGAAAGCGUGUCUGACCUCAGCUUUGGGCAGCAGGGGGCAUUUGUAUAGCUAUAAGAAAUUGUCUAAAAUUUUAUAGAUUUUGAUAUUGUUUCAAAUAUAUCUAAAAUUCCAGGUAUUUUUUUCUUGGACUGAAGACAAAAACUGAAAAUGAACUAACAUACCAAAAAGAGUUUCAAAAAUUUUAUUGUGCUAAAAUAAUUUCAUGUUUGCUAAGGCAAAAGCCUGAGAAUCUGAAAUGUAGCUUGUGCUUCAGCAGUUAAAAAAACAAGACAAAACAUUUUCACAUAAUUCUGAAAGGACUGUGUUGGACUAAAUCAAAGAAAAAUUGAAGUUUCUUUGGAAGUGGGAGAAAGUGGUGCUCACUUCUUCAUAUGGUAAGGUCAUAACAGAUUUUAUUUUCUUCUCUGACCUAAGUGGAUGUUAGGAACGUGACUUUUGUGAAAGCUGGAGACAAUAAUUCCCUUAGCAUCUUUUCUGUUUCUCUGUUCUUUAAGGCAUUGUCUGUCUGUCGGUGUCUCAAUCCAAUGUACACAACAGGAUAGAUGCAGAGAGGGCUGAUGGCCACUCUGAGUUUAUU